CUGUGCCCAAGAUAGACAACUUUGCAGAAGGACAGGAAUAGAGAGAGGACAUCCAGUUUCUGGGUCUUAUUACCACUCUGGCCAGGAUCCUAACUUCCAGCCAAAAGGACUGUAGUGACCUGACCCAUGGCCCUGACAGGAUAGAUGCCUAAACCACGGAACAGAAUGGAGAGCUCAGAAGCAAACCUCUGUGUGAAAGGUCGACUGAUAUUGACAAAGGACCCAAGAACACUUACCAGGAAAAGGACGGCUUCUUCACAAAUGGUGCUGGGAAAACCGGACAGCCACGUGUGGAGAUUUCCUGCCGCUGCAGUCAGAAAAGACAGUUGGUACAGCUCAAAUCUUAAACCUGCUGAGACCUGUGUCUUAUCUGAUACGGGGGGUCUGUCCCAGAGAAUGUGUGAGAAGGAUGCGUGCUGUGCCGCUGUGGGACGGACGUUCUGUGCGUGUGGGUCAGGUCCAUGUGAUCUGAAGUAUGGUUCAAGUCCAGUGCCAUGACGAUUGUGGGAACGACAACAAAGGACCAGGCUGUCGCGUGGACUUAGCGGAUGGAGCUGCAGUGGGGUCUGAGCAACUUUGAAAGAAGUUCUGUGGGUGAAGCGCUAUCACAUGGUGCCACACACCAAAGAGAAAACUUUCAUGAAAGGAGGAGUCCAUCGAUGCACCGAUGUCCUUGUUGUCUUAUUCUAAGUGGUGGCCGUGGCCUCUGAGCCUUCAGUGCCACCACCCCGAUCAGUCAGCAGCCACUGACAUCAGGCAGAUCCCCCAGCCCCCAGCAAAACGAUGAUGAUGCACUGGAAGUUCAGAGGAUGGUUAGCACGUUUUAGCAAUAAAGUGUUUUUUUU
Long non-coding RNA from Hyaena hyaena (striped hyena), 845 nucleotides. RefSeq lists it as uncharacterized. The transcript is spliced from 3 exons. The record is from RefSeq and is a predicted model, not a curated record. Lineage: Eukaryota; Metazoa; Chordata; Mammalia; Carnivora; Hyaenidae.